GAGCCGAGUAGUGCUAGAAAUAUGUAAUGGAAAGCGCCAUUAGAGAGGUGGAGCUAUGACAUAAUCAAAGUAGCAUUUCAGUAGCUCGUUUAUGCUGCGAGUAUAACAUAACUGUUUAAUAUUUUUUGUCGGCAUGUCUUAUGUAAAAUCUCAUCCUACCAUUUGUGGUUUUUUCUCUGCAUGUUUUGCUGUGGUGAAACUUCACAUCGCUGAUAAAUAACAGACCUCACCUUUUCCUUCGCGCGGCUUAGCAUGAGUGACUGCACCCCCAGUCUCUCCGACAGAGAGUGCGUCCUCAGCUGUGAAUCACUUGUGCUCAAGCGCUCACUCCUCUCGUCUUUCACCCGCACGGAGUGAGCCGAGGAGAGAAGAUAAUCUCUGAGACGUCGCCCUGCUGUCAAAGGUCGGCAGAUGUGAAAGGUCGUCCUGUGCAUCAUUUACAGGCUCCUAAUUUAGUAGUCCUAAAUAGGCCCAGACUUCACCAAGUAAAGCAGAUAUCGGGGUCUACGAGUUAUGAAUUAUCUUCACAUUCUCUCCAAGUCUGUGUGCUGAGAAAUGAGGGAUACGGUUCAAGAGAAGGCAAGCAUUGUGGGAAGAGGAAGAUCUAAGGGAGAGAUAAAGGGAGACGGAAAGAAAACAAACACUGUAAAAACAGGAGAUAAAGGCCAGAGGUUAUUAAAGUGGCAUCUAGUGACCUAUUAGAUUCCUCAAGUGGCCUCCUGUCUGUCUCUUGUUCUGUAAUAUUUCACCAUGAAUAAAUAAAUGGUCUUUGUGACUUAGUAAAAUAUCAUAAACAAGUCAUUUCCUUUACUAACUGAAAUAUAGGGGUCACAGUUGAUGGAUGAUGUAUGUGAAAAGUCAUUUUUACCAGCAAUGAUGUUAGUUUCCAAAAGAUGUAACUUCAAACAAAGAGAUUGUCAUACAUAUCGCCAACAUACGUUGUGUUGUGUACUUAUAUUAGCCAAAACUUUACCAACACUCUUUAAUUUCAUCUGUAUUUCUGGUGAAAGAGCAUUUAAAUGUGGUCAAUGAUGGCAUCUCUGCAGUAACUUCUGGGGUAAAACCCAGUGAGGCUUCCAGUCAGCCGGUGUGUUACGUCUUCUUUUUGCAUUAUAUUGUACGUAUUUGUCACUAAUGGAUCACAACUGCUCAUUGCACAUUUUAAGUGCCUGUCACUACCUGAUCCAAACCAGAGACCAUUUUGUAUCUAAAACCCUUAGCCUCGCCUUAACCCUAGAAACAGCCUUUGUAACAGGAAGUAGCCUAACUUUUGCACAUGAACAAAUUGGGAUCUCAGUACAGAUUGGGUGGAUACAGUGUAAUCUGCCACCGACAGCACAAUAAUUACUGAAUUGCCUAAUUUGUCAACUUCUGUGUGAAAGAGGACAGCAUUGGACAGAUCUUCCAAACCUGUUGUUUUAACAUUAGUGAGGUGAAAGUGUAUGAUGGCCUUAAAGUGCAAAAAAACAGGGAGUGGCAGCACUUAACACAAACUAAAUAUGUUCCAUUUCACAUAUAAGCCAUUUUUUACACAUAAUGUUUAAUGUUUAUUCUGGACGACACUCGCCCAUUAAUUCGCUGUCUUUUUCUAAUCUUCUGCUUUUAAACAUGAGGUCACUUGGACAUUAUAAGAAGAUUUGACUAGAGAGUUGGCAGGAGAAGCUGUGGACUUCUGUGCAGGUCUGAAAGAGCGUAUUCUGUGACUUAUGUUUCUCAUCAGCGAGUCACCAUCUGACCAUCUGACUCAGAGCCAGUGUUCUUUUCCUAUACGCUCCACGGCUCACGGCCUCGGCGGUUUCACUCGGACUGGUCUGCCCAGAGAACCGCCGCCCUCUACCCAGAGAGAGCCUUCCCCGCAUGGGGACACGUCUGGAUGACCCCCUGGUAUGCUGGAGGAGCCAGACCCAGGAGAUAAAGAGCGAAUAUAAAGACAAAUCAAAUGCAACCAAAAGGAAAUUUUAUGAUCUCACCAGAGGACAGUCAUCAUGGCAGAGCCGGCAAAAAA
This is a long non-coding RNA of Solea senegalensis (Senegalese sole), 2005 nucleotides long. RefSeq lists it as uncharacterized. Lineage: Eukaryota; Metazoa; Chordata; Actinopteri; Pleuronectiformes; Soleidae. The record is from RefSeq and is a predicted model, not a curated record. The transcript has 3 exons.